Molecule: non-coding RNA, 24 nt
Filed under: Arabidopsis thaliana (thale cress)
Lineage: Eukaryota; Viridiplantae; Streptophyta; Magnoliopsida; Brassicales; Brassicaceae
Source: RNAcentral
AUGACGCCUAACCGAGCAAGGUGU